UCCAUUCGCACCCCUGAAUCGUUUUCUUCUGCCCCUUCCCACCGCCGCGGGCGACAUGGCGACCAGAGGCCGGUGCUAGGGUUUACGCCGCCGCCACCCCCCCUCCUCCAUUGACCCCAUACACUCGCGGGCCCUCCCUCCGUCGAGCCGCAUCUCCACCCCAGCCCUCCGCCGCGGGAGCCCGGGUCGCGGCCGUAGCUCGCCCCGCGCCCAAUCGCCGCCGAGCUUAUCCCCGAGGUAAAAGCUCCAAUAAAUUGCCCUUGGACAUACGUUUGCCGCUUAAUUCAUGUAUCCGUGCAUGUUCUGGUGUUAUGCCUGUAUGUAUGAAACGAGAACAGCAUGCGGGGGCCUAUAGAUUUACAGAAAUUGUUUGUCAUACGGUUGAUUUUUUUUUUGGGUAACAGUAGGCCUCUUAUGCCCGACGGAAGGGAUGUGUCUGACGCGCGUACGCCAGUAGUUGGCUUGGAUGGAUGCGGCGGCGAGAGUCGUUCCCCAUGCAUCCUGACUCCAAGCCAUCCGUGCGAUGUCCACCACAUCAGGACAUUAGACAGUUGGCUUCUGAGCUGCAGUGACCUUCGUUUUUUUUCACACAAAAGCUUCAGAGGCAUUUUAAGUAAAAAAGAAAAAACCCGAGAAGUGUUUCGAUCUGCUUACUUUUUGC
This 661-nucleotide long non-coding RNA is filed under the name Hordeum vulgare. RNAcentral's name for it is "long non-coding RNA (HVUL_LNC020281)". The record is from RNAcentral. Lineage: Eukaryota; Viridiplantae; Streptophyta; Magnoliopsida; Poales; Poaceae.